Long non-coding RNA from Carassius carassius (crucian carp), 189 nucleotides. RefSeq lists it as uncharacterized. The record is from RefSeq and is a predicted model, not a curated record. The transcript has 2 exons. NCBI's taxonomy places the organism in Eukaryota, Metazoa, Chordata, Actinopteri, Cypriniformes, Cyprinidae.
AUCUUCAUCCACUGCAGUACAAAGGUGUGCCAUCCAUCAUCUGGCUCUUGUGAGCAAAGCUGCACCAGGAAACGAAGAGACACUCGUAUCAAGGCUGUCUCUGGGGAGCAGACUGUUGUUUCUAGUGGAGAAGUUACUCUGGUCAUGUAAAUCUAGUGUUUUUAAUAAACCGUGCAGAACCCUGAGGUA